Molecule: long non-coding RNA, 237 nt
Filed under: Lathyrus oleraceus (garden pea)
Lineage: Eukaryota; Viridiplantae; Streptophyta; Magnoliopsida; Fabales; Fabaceae
Description: Pisum sativum (pea) long non-coding RNA (PSAT_LNC015760)
Source: RNAcentral
GGAGGUCAGUUCUCCGGAGCCAUUGCCGGAUUUAUAAACUCAUCUUUUUUCUUGCUUCUUUCUUCUUUCAUUUUCGUUGAAGGUUACUGAUAUAUGCUUUCAUAUGUUUCCUUUUUACUUGAUUACACUUACGUGUGUUUCGAUUCUUGUUAGAUUUGACUGUUAGGGUUCAUAUCUGUUGAGUUUUGAUAUAUGUGGUGGGUUUGUUUUUUUAUGAUUUUGGAUGUUAGAUUUGAG